GGGGGCGUAAAGGUUUCGACGGGGAUUGUGAACCUUAGUAAGCGAGUAGUGGUGCGGACCCACUGAAAACGCCGUAUUUUUAAAAUUAAACGACAACAAACAAGUUGCGUACGCAGCCUAAUUAAGGCUGCCGUCUCAUUUAGGAGAACCACGGCCUGAAUUGAGAUGUCGAUGAGUGGUGCACGUGAAUCAAGCUACGCCUUUCACUUGAUCAUGACUUAAAGGCUACCAAUUCUUUCAGCUUUCCAAUUAGCGGGAAGAAGCGGGAAUCUUAAAUAAUUGGAUACACUCGUAGAAAGCUUUGGCAAGUGAUUUUCGGACAGGAGUUCGAUUCUCCUCAGCUCCACCA
RNAcentral lists this transfer-messenger RNA (349 nucleotides) under human gut metagenome. It matches the Rfam family "transfer-messenger RNA". From Rfam's summary of the family: Bacterial tmRNA, also known as 10Sa RNA or SsrA, is named for its dual tRNA and mRNA-like properties. Its role is to liberate the mRNA from a stalled ribosome. The record is from RNAcentral.